CCUACGUGAGGCAGCAGUGGGGAAUAUUGCGCAAUGGGCGAAAGCCUGACGCAGCGACGCCGCGUGAGGGAUGAAGGUCUUCGGAUCGGUAACCUCUGUCAGCAGGGAAGAACGGUCACUGUGCUAAUCAGCAGUGAAUUGACGGUACCAGCAAAGGAAGCACCGGCUAACGCCGUGCCAGCAGCCGCGGUAAUACGUAGGGUGCGAGCGUUAAUCGGAAUUACUGGGCGUAAAGCGCUCGUAGGCGGUAUGUCAAGUCAAGGGUGAAAUCCCCGCGCUCAACGUGGGAACUGCCGUUGAAACUGGCAAACUUGAGUGUGUGAGAGGAUAGUGGAAUUCGAGGUGUAGGAGUGAAAUGCGUAGAUAUCUGGAGGAACAUCAGUGGCGAAGGCGACUAUCUGGCACAUAACUGACGCUGAGGAGCGAAAGCGUGGGUAGCAAACAGGAUUAGAUACCCGAGUAGUC
Molecule: ribosomal RNA, 465 nt
Filed under: uncultured bacterium
Lineage: Bacteria
Description: partial 16S ribosomal RNA
Rfam family: Bacterial small subunit ribosomal RNA
Source: RNAcentral